UAUGUCCUGUUUCAAAUAUAUAUAUGAAUAAUUGUACGAAUAGACAAUUGUGUUCAUAGCUAGAGUACGUAAGGAAAAGGAAAGGUUAACCGCUAUCAAAUGGCGAGAAGGGAAGUGUGUUUCCAUAGAA
RNAcentral lists this small RNA (130 nucleotides) under Plasmodium falciparum 3D7. RNAcentral's name for it is "Pfa-mtR140c". Lineage: Eukaryota; Apicomplexa; Aconoidasida; Haemosporida; Plasmodiidae. The record is from RNAcentral.